ACGCUCGACACCUACGGGAGACAGCAGUAGGGAAUCUUCCAUAAUGGACGCAAGUCUGAUGGAGCAACGCCGCGUGAGUGAAGAAGGUUUUCGGAUCGUAAAGCUCUGUUGUUGGUGAAGAAGGAUAGAGGUAGUAACUGGCCUUUAUUUGACGGUAAUCAACCAGAAAGUCACGGCUAACUACGUGUCAGCAGCCGCGGUAACUGAGCGGGCUGGCAAGGC
RNAcentral lists this ribosomal RNA (222 nucleotides) under uncultured bacterium. Its description in RNAcentral is "partial 16S ribosomal RNA". It matches the Rfam family "Bacterial small subunit ribosomal RNA", at positions 328 to 539 of the family's 1533-position model. The record is from RNAcentral.